This 63-nucleotide transfer RNA is filed under the name Podarcis lilfordi (Lilford's wall lizard). Its description in RNAcentral is "tRNA.Lys". It matches the Rfam family "tRNA", at positions 8 to 63 of the family's 71-position model. Rfam says of the family: Transfer RNA (tRNA) molecules are approximately 80 nucleotides in length. Their secondary structure includes four short double-helical elements and three loops (D, anti-codon, and T loops). Lineage: Eukaryota; Metazoa; Chordata; Lepidosauria; Squamata; Lacertidae. The record is from RNAcentral.
GUAGCUCAGUCAGGAGAGCAAGAGACUUUUAAUCUCAGGGUUGUGGGUUUGAGUCGCACAUCA